RNAcentral lists this ribosomal RNA (372 nucleotides) under uncultured bacterium. RNAcentral describes it as "bacterial SSU rRNA". It matches the Rfam family "Bacterial small subunit ribosomal RNA", at positions 523 to 898 of the family's 1533-position model. The record is from RNAcentral.
AUACGGAGGGCGCGAGCGUUACCCGGAUUCACUGGGCGUAAAGGGCGUGUAGGCGGUCUGGGGCGUCUGGUGUGAAAUCCCACGGCUCAACCGUGGGGGUGCGCCGGAUACGCUCAGGCUAGACGGUGGGAGGGGGUGGUGGAAUUCCCGGAGUAGCGGUGAAAUGCGCAGAUACCGGGAGGAACGCCGAUGGUGAAGGCAGCCACCUAGUCCAUUGGUGACGCUGAGGCGCGAAAGCGUGGGGAGCGAACCGGAUUAGAUACCCGGGUAGUCCACGCCCUAAACGAUGCGCGCUAGGUCUUUGGGGUUAUUCUGGGGGCCGAAGCCAACGUGUUAAGCGCGCCGCCUGGGGAGUACGGCCGCAAGGUUGAA